This 564-nucleotide long non-coding RNA is filed under the name Marmota monax (woodchuck). Lineage: Eukaryota; Metazoa; Chordata; Mammalia; Rodentia; Sciuridae. The record is from RNAcentral.
AGAAGAAGAAGAAGGAGGAGGAGGAGGAGGAAGAAUAAGAAGAAGAAGAAGAAGAAGAAGAGAAGGCUCCAUCUUUCAGGGAGCUGACCUCCUGGUGAGGAGAUACAGGUAAUAAACACACCCAUGUGACAUGUAUUCCACUUGUGGAAAAGAGCAAAGAUUUGCGGGACGGUGACGAGGUUUCCCCGGUGACAUUACAGAGACGUUACUUGGUCAAUAAUCAAAUAUGUGUUGGGGUGAUUACAUAACAUGGAAAAGUGUGGGUGGCUCGGCUCAUUUCGCUGAAGUUGUUAAUAGCUGACCUGGCCUGGCUCAUGCGGUGGUUUCUCAUUGUCUUUCUAAUACUGUGUGAACUGUGGGGAGACAGCCCUGCUUUCUUCCCUGAGGUUGAUGAAUUCUGCCCUGCUUCCCUCCCUCUCCUUCCCUCUCUCCCUCUCCCUCACCCUCUCCCCCUCACCCUCUCCCCCAUCACCUUUUCUAGAGGGCUGUCACUUUAUCCAUCAUGGCAAGGACCCAGAUCCCUCCUUGGUGACUUCAUUGUCUGUCUGUUUCCGUUGCAUUGAC